RNAcentral lists this ribosomal RNA (846 nucleotides) under uncultured marine bacterium. Its description in RNAcentral is "bacterial SSU rRNA". It matches the Rfam family "Bacterial small subunit ribosomal RNA", at positions 60 to 930 of the family's 1533-position model. The record is from RNAcentral.
GGCUGCUCGAUCCUACCAUGGAGACGACGGAAGCAUAGCUUUAGUGGCAAACGGGUGAGUAAUACGUAAGAAUCUACCUUUAGGAGGGAAAUAACAGUUAGAAAUGACUGCUAAUGUCCCAUAUGCUGAAAAGUGAAAUGUUUUUUGCCUAGAGAUGAGCUUACGCCUGAUUAGCUAGUUGGUAAGGUAAAGGCUUACCAAGGCAACGAUCAGUAGCUGGUUUGAGAGGAUGAUCAGCCACACUGGAACUGAGACACGGUCCAGACUUCUACGGAAGGCAGCAGUGGGGAAUUUUCCGCAAUGGGCGAAAGCCUGACGGAGCAAUACCGCGUGAAGGAUGAAUGCCUGUGGGUUGUAAACUUCUUUUAUUAGGGAAGAAGAUAUGACGGUACCUAAUGAAUAAGCAUCGGCUAACUCCGUGCCAGCAGCCGCGGUAAUACGGGGGAUGCAAGCGUUAUCCGGAAUUAUUGGGCGUAAAGAGUCUGUAGAUUGUUCAGAAAGUCUGUUGUUAAAGAUUAGAGCUCAACUCUAGAAAAGCAAUAGAAACUUCUAGACUAGAGUAUGGUAGAGGCAAAGGGAAUUCCCAGUGUAGCGGUGAAAUGCGUAGAUAUUGGGAAGAACACCAGAAGCGAAGGCGCUUUGCUGGGCCAUUACUGACACUCAGAGACGAAAGCUAGGGGAGCAAAUGGGAUUAGAUACCCCAGUAGUCCUAGCUGUAAACGAUGGAUACUAGAUGUUGUGCGUAUCGAUCCGUGCAGUAUCGUAGCUAACGCGUUAAGUAUCCCGCCUGGGAAGUAUGCUCGCAAGAGUUGAACUCAAAGGAAUUGACGGGGGCCCCGCACAAGC